AUGGGACGGAAAGCGAGCCGCCUGCGGCGACGCCGCCAGCCGCCGGCCGGCAUCAGCCCCACCACGUCGCCGUCGCCUUCGCCUGCAUCCUCCUCAAGAGAGUUUGCCAUCAUGCAAAGCCCGAGCAAAUUGCCUGACCCAUCUGUCUCUACUCCCCCAGGAGUGUUGGGGCACCAAGGUUGGGCUGACCUCCCAGAUAAACUGCUUCACUCCAUUGUUCCUCUGUUGGGAUCUUUCCUCGACCUUAUAGCGUUUGCUAGCACCUGUGGUUCUUGGCGUGCUGCCUUCUCUUCGUACCCAUCCAAAUCGACCAUCUGCACCAAACUCCCACCUUUCCUCGUCCGACCCAAUCUCUGUGUCGAUGCCCCUCAUCUCCCUUCCAGCAAUGGUCGUCACAAGCUACGCACAUGUAAGGUCAUUGAUCUGGCCAACCAGAACAGAGCCCUCCGCUGCCAGAUUCCUCAAGAAACUUUUCAGAGGAUGCGUUUUGCUGGCUCUUCCUAUGGGCAUCUCAUCUGCUGCCGCCGAGGAAAUUGCCUUGUUGUUGAUGUGUUCACUGGUGCCGAGGUUUCACUUCCAUCUCUCCCAUUCAGUGGUGACUGUGAGCAGGAGUUCUACUUUGGCGGCACUCUGACAGCUUCCCUUGCAUCACCCAACUGCCAUCUCCUUGUCAGCACACGAUCCUCCCUGUUUGAUUGGCCGGUUGGAAGUGACUCUCGGUCUGAACUCAAGCUUUCUGAUGCACGGGUAGAUCAGAUUGUGGAGUUCAAUGGUCAGUUCAUCGCCAUGGAUUAUUCUCAGAGGAUCUACAUUCUGAAGUUAGCCCCCCAGCUUGGCCUGCAGGAGAUAACAACCGAGUGGUGGGAUGACAUGACUGAAUGCCCAUAUCUAAGACCAUGGCUGGUGGUCUGCGGUGAUAUGCUUCUCAUGGUUGACCAUUACAUGAGCUUAUCAUUUGGAGCACCAGUCUUGUAUAAACCCUACCACCUUGAUAUGUCGACCAGACCUGCAAAAUGGGUGGAGGUGAAGAAGCUAGACAAUUGGGCACUCUUUGUAGGGGGUGAUGUGAGGAGCCCGCCGUUUUCUUGCUUGACCCCAGAGAAGUGGGGAGGGAGGAGCAACUGCCUGUACUACGCCCAUUACUCUCAGCCUUGGAGCGUACAUGGAUUAGGUGACGCGGCAGAUGCUGUGUGGGAUCCUUCCACCGACCCUGAUCUUGUGUACAAGAGAAACUGGUACGGCCAGCUGCAGGCCUUCUGGGUAUAUCCAAGCAUGUUCUAUUCCGAUGCUCCAGUAGUGACGGGGCACCAAGACUGGGCUGACCUCCCAGAUAAUCUGCUUCACUCCAUUGUUCCUCUGUUGGGAUCCUUUCUCGACCUUAUUGCGUUUGCUAGCACCUGUCGUUCUUGGCGUGCCGCCUUCUCUUCAUACCCAUCCAAGUCGACAUUCUGCACCAAACUCCCGCCUCUCCUCGUCCGGCCCAAUGUCCGUGUCCAAGCCCCUCAUCUACCUUCUAGCAAUGGUCGUCACAAGCUACGCACAUGUUUCACCUCCAUGUCUCCCCUUGCAUCACCCAACUGCCAUCUCCUUGUCAGCACCCGAUCCUCCCUGUUUGAUUGGCCGGUUGGAAGCGACUCUUGGUCUGAAAUCAAGCUUUCUGAUGCACGGAUAGAUCAGAUUGUGGAAUUCAAUGGCCAGUUCAUUGCCAUGGAUUAUUCUCAGAGGAUCUACUUUCUGAAGUUAGCCCCCCAGCUUGGCCUGCAGGAGAUAACUACCAAGUGGUGGGACGGCAUGACUGAGUGCCCAUAUCUAAGACCAUGGCUGGUGGUUUGCGGUGAUAUGCUUCUCAUGGUUGACCAUUAUGUGAGCCUAUCAUUUGGAGCACCAGUCUUGUAUAAACCCUACCGCCUUGAUAUGUCGACAAGACCUGCAAAAUGGGUGGAGGUGAAGAAGCUGGACAACUCGGCACUCUUUGUAGGGGGUGAUGUGAGGAGCCCGCCGUUUUCUUGCUUGAGCCCAGAGAAGUGGGGAGGGACGAGCAACCGCCUGUACUACGCCCAUUACUCUCAGCCUUGGAGCGUACAUGGCUUUGGUGAUGCGGCAGAUGCUGCGUGGGAUCCUUCCACCGACCCUGAUCUUGUGUACAAGAGAAACUGGUACGGCCAGCUUCAGGCCUUCUGGGUGUACCCAAGCAUGUUCUAUUCCGAUGGCCAGUGA
This 2217-nucleotide ribosomal RNA is filed under the name Triticum aestivum (bread wheat). RNAcentral describes it as "partial small subunit ribosomal RNA". The record is from RNAcentral. Lineage: Eukaryota; Viridiplantae; Streptophyta; Magnoliopsida; Poales; Poaceae.